UCUCUACCAACAUCAGCCGCCACCGCAACCUAUCACGACUUAACCGCCCAGUUACCUCCGACCAGCCACUUCCGGCCAGCCGUCCAGCCACUACCGCCACCAAGUGCCACUCACAAAAUUAAUUUACUUUGUCUUUCCUAAGUUAAGAAAGUUGAACCUACUUCUUUGAUCUUGUUUGGGUUUAAAACAAAGGGGAUUUGACACCAUAAAUCCUUUAUGUUUGUUCACUUGGGACUUCUUCAAGGGUCUCAACACCUGGGUUGGCUCAUUGGAUAGUAUUUGAAGCUUAUUGCUUAAGCUUGUGAAGUUUGUAUCUACAGGAGGUCAGGAAAAUGUUCAGGAUCAACUGCAGGAGACGUGACUGUGCGGUGUAGCCUGUGUUUACUAGAUGUCUAUUUCCUUACCUUUAUUUAGUAUUGUUUAGACGUUUAAAUUGUUGAAUAUCAUGUAUGACUCAAUCACCUCUGCUUUGAGCUAUUGUCUUGUUUCCACCGCGAUAUGGACCAUUGAGGUCUUAAUUACCAUGAUAGUAUUGAAUUAU
Tripterygium wilfordii is the source of this 541-nucleotide long non-coding RNA. RefSeq lists it as uncharacterized. The record is from RefSeq and is a predicted model, not a curated record. Lineage: Eukaryota; Viridiplantae; Streptophyta; Magnoliopsida; Celastrales; Celastraceae. The transcript has 3 exons.